Molecule: ribosomal RNA, 377 nt
Filed under: uncultured bacterium
Lineage: Bacteria
Description: bacterial SSU rRNA
Rfam family: Bacterial small subunit ribosomal RNA
Source: RNAcentral
UAAGACGUAGGGUCCAAGCGUUGUCCGGAUUUACUGGGCGUAAAGAGCGCGUAGGCGGCUCGUUAAGUGUGAAGCUAAAUCUCUGGGCUCAACCCGGAAACUAUUUCGCAUACUGGCGAGCUGGAGUGAUGAAGAGGUUUGUGGAAUUCCUGGUGUAGCGGUGAAAUGCGUUGAUAUCAGGAGGAACACCCAUGGCGAAGGCAGCAAACUGGUCAUCAACUGACGCUGAGGCGCGAAAGCGUGGGUAGCAAACAGGAUUAGAUACCCUGGUAGUCCACGCCCUAAACGAUGGAUACUAGGCGUAAGAGGUAUCGACCCCUCUUGUGCCGCAGCUAACGCAUUAAGUAUCCCGCCUGGGGAGUACGGCCGCAAGGUUG